CUAACCGUAAACUAUGCCAACUAGCGAUCCGUCGGUGUUAAAUAUUGACUCGACGGGCAGCUUCCGGGAAACCAAAGUUUAUAGGUUCCGGGGGAAGUAUGGUUGCAAAGCUUAAACUUAAAGGAAUUGACGGAAGGGCACCACCAGGAGUGGAGCCUGCGGCUUAAUUUGACUCAACACGGGGAAACUCACCCGGCCAGGACACAAUAAGGAUUGACAGAUUGAUAGCUCUUUCUUGAUUUUGUGGGUGGUGGUGCAUGGCCGUUCUUAGUUGGUGGAGCGAUUUGUCUGGUUAAUUCCGAUAACGAACGAGACUCUAGCCUAUUAAAUAGACGAUAUAUCUUAUUAGUAUAUCGAGCUUCUUAGAGGGACGAGCAGCUUCUAGCUGCACGAGAUUGAGCAAUAACAGGUCUGUGAUGCCCUUAGAUGUCCGGGGCUGCACGCGCGCUACAAUGAAAAUAGCAGCGCGUUUCGAAAACCUUUUCUGGAAAGUAUUGGUAAACGCGAAAUAUUUUCGUGAUUGGGAUAGGGGAUUGCAAUUAUUGCCCUUGAACGAGGAAUUCCCAGUAAAUUCGAGUCAUCAGCUCGAGUUG
RNAcentral lists this ribosomal RNA (593 nucleotides) under Mylonchulus sp. NK-2011b. Its description in RNAcentral is "SSU rRNA". It matches the Rfam family "Eukaryotic small subunit ribosomal RNA", at positions 1026 to 1643 of the family's 1831-position model. Lineage: Eukaryota; Metazoa; Nematoda; Enoplea; Mononchida; Mylonchulidae. RNAcentral also lists the same sequence under 2 other names. The record is from RNAcentral.